Molecule: ribosomal RNA, 253 nt
Filed under: uncultured bacterium
Lineage: Bacteria
Description: partial 16S ribosomal RNA
Rfam family: Bacterial small subunit ribosomal RNA
Source: RNAcentral
UACAGAGGUCCCAAGCGUUGUUCGGAUUUACUGGGCGUAAAGGGUGCGUAGGCGGCUCGAUAAGUCUAACGUGAAAUCUUCAAGCUUAACUUGAAAACUGCGAUGGAAACUGUCGGGCUUGAGGUUUUGAGGGGAAGUCGGAAUUCUCGGUGUAGCAGUGAAAUGCGUAGAUAUCGAGAGGAACACCAGUGGCGAAAGCGGGCUUCUAGAAAAAACCUGACGCUAAGGCACGAAAGCUAGGGGAGCAAACGGG